UAUUCAUGGCGGACAGGUGAAGUCGUGAGAGGGAGUUGUUUACAUGAGUUGCCAUUCACUUGGAUAUAUACGGCUUUGUGUUUGAUUUGAAAAGAGAUGGUGUUAACUGUACUAACAGGGAUAUAGUUCUGAAUGUUGCAAUUACUUAAAAUUGUAUUAUAAUGUAGUUUGGAGGUUUGUCAAAGGAAUUUACCGCUUGUAAGUUUCUACUUUUGGAGCCGUUCGUGUGCUGUACAGGAGCGUGACAAAUAAUGUCUCCGAGACUUUUCUGAACUAUGAUAUCUCCCGAUUCAUGUCACAGAUGACAUUAGUCAAUUUGUCCUUCAAGGAUUUAUGAGCUGGAUUAUCGGCCAUUUGAUGUGUGAUAGGGAGGGAGAAAGAUUGCUAUGUGAUGAACAAGUACGAAAUUCUGGGAGUAGUAGGUGAAGGGGCCUAUGGUGUGGUUCUAAAAUGCAGACAUAAGGAGUCUGGUGAGACGGUUGCUGUGAAGAAGUUCAAAGACAGUGAAGAAAAUGAAGAUGUCAAGAGAACAACCCUUCGCGAGCUCAAGAUGCUCCGUACCCUCAAACAGGAAAAUAUUGUGGAGCUACGGGAAGCAUUCCGACGGAAAGGCAAACUCUACCUUGUGUUCGAAUAUGUGGAAAGGAAUAUGUUGGAGUUACUGGAGGAGAUGCCAAAUGGUGUCCCACUGGAGAAAGUGAGAAGUUACACAUACCAACUGUGUAAGGCCAUACAGUGGUGUCACAGCCAGGACAUCAUACAUAGAGAUAUCAAACCUGAAAACUUGCUGAUUAGUAAACAAGAUACCCUCAAGUUGUGUGACUUUGGUUUUGCCAGGAGUAUAACCGGAGGUUUGGUUGGAGUCUACACGGACUAUGUGGCAACGCGAUGGUACAGGUCCCCGGAACUCCUCCUUGGGUCAGCGUACGGUAAAUCAGUAGAUAUAUGGUCCAUUGGUUGUAUAAUGGGGGAACUUUGUGAUGGUCAGCCUCUGUUCCCCGGAGAGAGUGAGAUCGACCAACUCUACGUUAUACAAAAAGUCAUGGGUCAACUGCCCUCGGAGCAAAUGAACAUGUUUUUCCACAACCCUCGCUUCUCUGGCCUGAAGUUCCCAUCGGUAACUAAACCCCAGACACUACAAAAGAGGUACCAAGGAGUUCUCAGCAGCGUUUACCUAGACUUCAUGGAGAACACCCUGCAGCUUGACCCUACUGACCGCUUCCUUAUAGAGGAAUGUAUAAACCACCCGGCCUUCCAGACCGAGCAGCUACUCAAUCGCACACACAACAUUCCCAUCAAAUAUGCCCGCACUGGCAGCAGUAAAAAACGCAAGAAAGAGUUUCCUGACAGUAACAUAGACAGUGAAAAUUUAAAGAAUCUCCAUAAAAGUCGACCUGACACAGCAGUGUCAGAGGAAACAAAGCCGUCCCAAGGUGCACCACAAGUGCAGCGAGUGAUGGUUGCACAGGAGGAGAAAAUGGACACUAGUGAGGACAGUUAUAUACAAAUGCCUGUCACCAGUAAAUACAUUAAACAGGCUAAAAACUUGUCUAAAAGCAAUGCGGACAAACUAUCCAAAAGUAACACUGACAAUAUGGCCAGUCAGCAAGAGACAAACAAACAGCCAGCGCCACAACCUGUGCAAAGGGAGGCGACUCGUGCUGAUAAAUAUGACUCUCGCUCACGGACCCCCAAACCUGCAUUAGAGAGAGGGGACAUGAAAGGCCAGUCACAGGACAGUGGUAGUCAGUUUGACCGUGAGAAAACUCUGGUGCUCGAUAACGGAUACAAGAUAAGAAUGACAACUGACAAAUCGCCUGGUGUAGAGGAGAGUGUGACAAAGGGAGGGAGGCAUAACAGUACUACGAGUGAACGAACAGUGGACACCAACAAUAGGUCAGUGUCAAGAACUAGUCAAGAAAGCCGACAUCACAGCACAUUUGCCGAUUUCCGCAACGCAAACGUGUUGGAAGGUGGCUUACAAAGUGCAUCUACAUUAACCACUGCCCAUAGUCAAACCAGCUCAUCAAACAUAGACAGUGCUUCUCCACGUACAGAAGAUCUCGACUCGCCUGGAUUACAUAGCGAGUCAAAGUACCUCAAGCGUAAAGACAAUGCUAAAGUUGUGCCAGACUUGUCUGGUGAGACAAAGGUUGUAAAACAAUCAUACUCCAAAGAGAGUCUGUCAGAUUCGCCAACAAUCACACCUCGGGAAACAAAGGGGGGUAACUCCCAGUAUAAAUCAUCCACAUACACUGUCAACUUACAGGCACCAAAUCAUAGUCAAGAAUCAUCAGAAAAUUCCAAAGGCCAAUUUGGUAGUCCCCAGGUUGAGCGGAAAAAGUUCCUAGAUAAAGCUAUGCAGGAGGAGUUAAAACGAAUCAAGUCAAGUACUCUUGGCCGCAAGAAGAGCCAGGACAAGAUUCAUCAGGGAUCGUUUAUACAGACAAUCACAGACAAGCUCUCGGAUGCCAAACUCCAAACAGCGGAUUCCAAAUACAGAGAGAGCAGUUUCGUAAACUAUAACGGAACAAACAAAGCUGUCAACAAACGGAAUCGCAAUCAAUAUUACGACGGAAGCAUGACUGCACGAGAGCGUGCGGGUAGCUACAGCCCAACCCCAGGAUCACUGAUGCUUAGUGUUGUUGACCUGAACUUUCAUCGGGAGCCGAGUUCUUACGCUCACACUCCGGCCGUCCAGACACGUACUCACAGUAAAUACAUAUCCAUGCAGACUUACCAGAACAAUGCUGAUCCUGGUCAGUCCCCAGGCUACUCCUCCCACCAGCGGGGCGGCCCUGGGGGUGGGGCAUAUCAGCAGGAUAAUUGGCGAGCAACAGAUAGUAACCAAGACUGGCAGACACAAGCGACUCGCAAGAAGAAAAAGAAAAAGUUCUUGCAGAUUCUAGCCAAUGAGAAUGCUGGGAGAAUGACCCCUACAACCCGUCUGCACCUGAAUCAGUCAAGGGCAAGUCACUUAGACUAUGAUGAGGAUGUGGAUGAGGGUCAGAUCUCUGCCCGUGAACCGUUACAGAACUGGGAAUACUCGGCUAAGGAUGGUCUCUACAGCAGUCGUCAUCAGUACGCCAAGGCAGCAGCCUCCCUCCGUAAACAAACCCGCACACCAGUCGAUAAGGGGACCAGACUGCAGCCCCUCCAGAAGCCCCCGCCACACCUGGGGAGUCUAGCUCCAGGAAGCAGUGCCGGUGGUGGCACCAUGGACCCUGUAUGGCAUGGGCACCACUCUCAUGGCAAGUCCGACUCCGACACACGUCUCGUAAACAAUGCGGGAACAGACCUUCGUACAGGCUGGAUGUCUCGGCCACAGUCUGUACUGGGAGACGAUUCCUCAGACAUAUAUCACUACACACCUAGGGAACCGACUGAGCUCAAGUCUCUCAAGGGAGGCAAGCAGGGUCGGCACCAUAUGGAUUUACGAGGAACGCGAGAUUAGUAUGAAAGUUUAGCAGCAGGAGAGACAAGAUUAUUCUGAUAAUUUGUUCAUCAGACAUGCAUUUAUCAUUUGCUCUUUCAUGGUUUACACGUACAAACUUUGGUAAGAAUGGUUUCUAUGUUUUACUCCACUGUAUUACUGUUAACCUUGCGAGAAAAUCUUCAAAUGUCUCUAUAUAGUUUUACUCACAUACUCAUAAACCAAAUCAAAAAUUCUGUUUUGUUGUCAGAAUGGCAAGAGAUUACAUUGUUCCUAAGGUUGGACAAGAAAUUUUACAUUAUUUAUAUAUUUAUAUUUAAUCCAAAAUAUAUAGAAAAUAUUUAUCUUAUAUACACAGAAAAAUCAGAUAUAGAUGUUUGUGAAGUUUAAGAAUAUCUUUAUUUGCCGAAAUUAGAAUAAUAAUUAAAUACUGUAAGAAAAUAUUAUAAUUAUUGUACAUGGUUAUCCAGACUGAUACCGUUAUAAUGCAUUUUGUAAUAAAUAAAUAUCUGUAAUAAUUUCACAGCGAAAUGAAUUGUUUGUAUUGAAUGUAUUUGUGAUAUAAGACUAAUAUUACUAAUAAUAUGACUAUUAUCUAUUGAUUGUAUGAGAACUAGACAAGGCAUUACAUAUCUAUGGUACUCAUUUUCUCUGUAACAUACCUGAUCACAUACAAACCACGUAAUAUCAGAUCGGAUGAUUGAUAAUGAUUAUCAUAAGAAUUAGUCUGGACUUUGCCAAGUAGGAUAAGAUUAAAAAUUCACAAGUAAUUUAUAACUGUAAAAAUUUGCACUUGUCCAUAUCCAGGGCCGUGUACAACUGGUCAGUCAUUCACCUUUAGGUAUUAACAAUGAUGAUGGACAUUUCUAUACUUGUAAUUGGUUGAAGCAAAUUAUAUCCAACACAAUAAAACUGAAAUGGCAGAAAUGGUCGGUUACAUUUAGAAAUGGUCGGUUACAUUUAGAAGUAGUCGGCUACAAUUCUGUUUCUAUGUACCAUGAAGCUUGUACAAAAUUAAGGUACUACUAACAGUGAAGGUAUCUGUCCUUAUUGUCUGUCCAAUUUAUAUAAGUAAAGAUUCUUAUGUCUGACAUACUUGUAUCAGUAUAUAUUCUUAUGUCUGACAUACUUGUAUAAGUGUACAUUCUUAUGUCUGACGUACUUGUAUAAGUAUACAUUAUUAUGUCUGACAUACUUGUAUAAGUAUACAUUAUUAUGUCUGACAUACUUGUAUCAGUAUACAUUCUUAUGUCUGACAUACUGAUAUGUCUGUCCUAAUUAUGACGUACUGAUAUGUCUGUCCUAUGUCUGACAUACUGAUAUGUCUGUCCUAUGUCUGACAUACUGAUAUGUCUGUCCUAUGUCUGACAUACUGAUAUGUCUGUCCUAUGUCUGACAUACUGAUAUGUCUGUCCUGUCUGACGUACAGAUAUGUCUGUCCUAUCUGACGUACAGAUAUGUCUGUCCUAUGUCGGACAUAUCGGUGUAGAUUCUGAAAUCUGAUGUAUUUAAUUUAUUUUAGAUUCUGAAGAACAUACUCACUAGUUCCUGACACAGUAUUCAUUGUUCUUUUUUAUAUAUAAAUAGAUAUAUCAUUCCCUCCAUAGAUUUGUUCACACAUUCCUUUCUACCUCGACUUGGUUGCCGUUAUUUUUCACGAAAAUCUUCAUUCUGUGUGUUGUAUCAGAGGAUACCUAUAAUAUUGAAGGACAUUUGUAACUCAUAAUAUUUCAAGAUCUCUUGUCUAAAUAUGUGGAUUUUAUUGUGGCAAAUACAUUCCAUAUAAUAUUAUAUAUCACCCCGAAGGACCUGCCUACUCGGAUAGGAAGAAUUUCUCUUCAGUAGAGUCUAAUAAGCCAGUGGUCCUUGGUUCAAUGUGGAGGAGGGGCGGAAUUGAUCGGGAUUACAUUGACGGACAGAAAACUUAUUGUUGUGAGUGAUAUAUCACCGAGUUAAAAAGAAAUAUCAAUGUUUAUAGAAUGGCAUCUUUUUCUCCACACGUAUAUGUCUCGGGCCUCAGCAAAAUGAUAGAAUAAAAGUCUGCUGUAAACAAUAUGUAUACAGCAACAAUCUUAGUACUGAUUGUUAGACAGCAUUACAGCUAAGAUCGUCCAUCUUAUUGUACACCAAUCACCAUCACUUUAGGUGACUUAGAAGUCAGACAUGUUGACAAUCUGUGAUGUGGUUCACUACGUUGGACCAUACCUAAAUGGUCUGUACUACCCAUCUUUUUUAUUUGCCAAAGACGUAUAAAUGUAAAUAAGUGCUGUUCAGUGUUAAAUUUUUAGAAUAGUAGAAAUAAGAUGGUAAAGUUGAAGAACAUCUGAGAGUGAGAGAAACUUGAAGGAAGGUGAGAGAAAGGAAGCUGGAGAAAACGGAAAUGUGAUCAAGAGAAUGAAAAUGAGGAAGAUAUGAGAGAAAGAAAUUAAGACAAUAUGGUAGGUAAGAGGAAAAUAGUGACAGAAAAUGGAAUUUCUGAUAGAGAGAAUGGGAGUGAGAGAAAGUAGAAGGUACAAGAAUCUGAGGGGAAAAUGGGAGGAUUUGAGAACAUUGUUGGGCAGUAAAAUGCUGCAUGUUGGUGGAAGGUCUUGAGGGCAACAGAGCGUAAAAUGACGGGAAAGAGGAAAAUAUAGAUGGGUGACAGAAUUUUAUUCAAGUGUGAAAGAAUAUAGAGCUAGGACAAAGUAGUGUGAUAACAGAUGUCAGAGUGUUACAAAGAUGGCCAGAGAAUGUAUCACGAUAAAUUACCAUACAUUUGUCACUCAUAGUGUAUCAUAAGGUACAUGUAACUUACUCUAGUGUUUGUACUUAGUUAAUGUUGCACCUAAACUCAGAUUUAAUGAAAUGUCAAAAAUUUGAAUUGUGUUUGACUCAGAUAAGCCAGAAUGAAGAACGAGAAGAAUGAUUGAGGAUUAUUUUUCAGUUGGUGUCCAAACCAUGCUGGAAUUUGUGUCUGACUCAAUUUAACAGAAAGUACAGGUGUCUCAGGGACAGGUGUUGGAGAUAUGGU
RNA transcript from Pecten maximus, 6443 nucleotides. It is a transcript of the gene named cyclin-dependent kinase-like 5, with no coding region annotated. The record is from RefSeq and is a predicted model, not a curated record. The transcript is spliced from 21 exons. NCBI's taxonomy places the organism in Eukaryota, Metazoa, Mollusca, Bivalvia, Pectinida, Pectinidae.